UGAGUAACGGCGAGCGAAAGGAAGAGUCUAGCACCGAAUCCCGCGCUGUAACGGCGUCUGAGAGAUGUGGUGUUUGGGAGUGAGCGUGCUGGAGGUCGACCAGGCAGCAAGUCCCCCUGACAGAGGCUGUUACCCAGAGCGGGUGCGAGGCCCAUAGCUGCCAGGUCUCCUCCGAAUGCGAUCUCCUUGGAGUCGGGCUGCUUGGAAGUGCAACUCUAAGCGGGUGGUAAACUCCACCUAAGACUAAAUACGGCCGUGAGACCGAUAGCAAACAAGUACCGUGAGGGAAAGUUGCAAAGAACUUUGAAGAGAGAGUUCAAGAGUACGUGAAACUGCUCAGAGGUAAACGUGUGGGCCCUCGAAAUCCUGUGGCGGAAGGAUUCAGUCGAUAUGUGCGGAGGUGCGUGCGGACGUUAUCCAGAAGGCUCCCCGAUCGGGGUCUGAUCCGCUGCACUCUGUCGUACCGUUCGACGCAUUUCUUUUCCGCCCGAAGGACGCCGCAACCGGUUGGAAGGUGGCCUGAUGGGAGAGCCGUGGCAGUUGGCCGGCGUCUGGCUAAGCUAGUCUGCCGGUUGUUAGCCUGCUCUGAUCCUAAGCUCGCUAUCCGACCGUGGUGUGGCCCAGCCACUGGGCCCUAUCGCCUCCUCCUUUACCCGAAGUGGCGGGUGGAGAAGCGCGGCAGACGUCACUACGACGGCUGGUCGCACACUCUGAUGGUGUGGACUUGAUCGUCGGCGUCAUCGAUGGCCGUGCGAGAGCCCGUGCGAGGUGGCGGACCAAGGAGUCUAACAUGUGUGCGAGUCAAUGGGUCUCGAAUAAGCCCAGAGGCGCAAUGAAAGCAAAGGCCGCGCAGAAUGCCGGCUGUGUUGGGAUCCCUGCGCUCGUCGCGGGGCGCACCAACGACCCGUCCCGUCCGAUUCAUCGGUGGGACGGAGUCUGAGCAUACACGUUGGGACCCGAAAGAUGGUGAACUAUGCCCGAGCAGGACGAGGCCAGGGGAAACUCUGGUGGAGGUCCGCAGCGGUUCUGACGUGCAAAUCGAUCGUCAGAUUCAGGUAUAGGGGCGAAAGACCAAUCGAACCAUCUAGUAGCUGGUUCCCUCCGAAGUUUCCCUCAGGAUAGCUGGCGCUCGAGACUCAGUCUCAUCCGGUAAAGCGAAUGAUUAGAGGCCUUGGGGCCGAAACGACCUCA
Molecule: ribosomal RNA, 1191 nt
Filed under: Ambicodamus sp. FAPDNA000
Lineage: Eukaryota; Metazoa; Arthropoda; Arachnida; Araneae; Nicodamidae
Description: eukaryotic LSU rRNA
Rfam family: Eukaryotic large subunit ribosomal RNA
Source: RNAcentral